Molecule: ribosomal RNA, 2902 nt
Filed under: Escherichia albertii
Lineage: Bacteria; Pseudomonadati; Pseudomonadota; Gammaproteobacteria; Enterobacterales; Enterobacteriaceae
Description: 23S ribosomal RNA
Rfam family: Bacterial large subunit ribosomal RNA
Source: RNAcentral
GGUUAAGCGACUAAGCGUACACGGUGGAUGCCCUGGCAGUCAGAGGCGAUGAAGGACGUGCUAAUCUGCGAAAAGCGUCGGUAAGGUGAUAUGAACCGUUAUAACCGGCGAUGUCCGAAUGGGGAAACCCAGUGUGUUUCGACACACUAUCAUUAACUGAAUCCAUAGGUUAAUGAGGCGAACGGGGGAACUGAAACAUCUAAGUACCCCGAGGAAAAGAAAUCAACCGAGAUUCCCCCAGUAGCGGCGAGCGAACGGGGAGGAGCCCAGAGCCUGAAUCAGUGUGUGUGUUAGUGGAAGCGUCUGGAAAGGCGUGCGAUACAGGGUGACAGCCCCGUACACAAAAAUGCACAUGCUGUGAGCUCGAUGAGUAGGGCGGGACACGUGGUAUCCUGUCUGAAUAUGGGGGGACCAUCCUCCAAGGCUAAAUACUCCUGACUGACCGAUAGUGAACCAGUACCGUGAGGGAAAGGCGAAAAGAACCCCGGCGAGGGGAGUGAAAAAGAACCUGAAACCGUGUACGUACAAGCAGUGGGAGCCUCUUUAUGGGGUGACUGCGUACCUUUUGUAUAAUGGGUCAGCGACUUAUAUUCUGUAGCAAGGUUAACCGAAUAGGGGAGCCGGAGGGAAACCGAGUCUUAACUGGGCGUUAAGUUGCAGGGUAUAGACCCGAAACCCGGUGAUCUAGCCAUGGGCAGGUUGAAGGUUGGGUAACACUAACUGGAGGACCGAACCGACUAAUGUUGAAAAAUUAGCGGAUGACUUGUGGCUGGGGGUGAAAGGCCAAUCAAACCGGGAGAUAGCUGGUUCUCCCCGAAAGCUAUUUAGGUAGCGCCUCGUGAAUUCAUCUCCGGGGGUAGAGCACUGUUUCGGCAAGGGGGUCAUCCCGACUUACCAACCCGAUGCAAACUGCGAAUACCGGAGAAUGUUAUCACGGGAGACACACGGCGGGUGCUAACGUCCGUCGUGAAGAGGGAAACAACCCAGACCGCCAGCUAAGGUCCCAAAGUCAUGGUUAAGUGGGAAACGAUGUGGGAAGGCCCAGACAGCCAGGAUGUUGGCUUAGAAGCAGCCAUCAUUUAAAGAAAGCGUAAUAGCUCACUGGUCGAGUCGGCCUGCGCGGAAGAUGUAACGGGGCUAAACCAUGCACCGAAGCUGCGGCAGCGACGCUGAUGCGUUGUUGGGUAGGGGAGCGUUCUGUAAGCCUGUGAAGGUGUGCUGUGAGGCAUGCUGGAGGUAUCAGAAGUGCGAAUGCUGACAUAAGUAACGAUAAAGCGGGUGAAAAGCCCGCUCGCCGGAAGACCAAGGGUUCCUGUCCAACGUUAAUCGGGGCAGGGUGAGUCGACCCCUAAGGCGAGGCCGAAAGGCGUAGUCGAUGGGAAACAGGUUAAUAUUCCUGUACUUGGUGUUACUGCGAAGGGGGGACGGAGAAGGCUAUGUUGGCCGGGCGACGGUUGUCCCGGUUUAAGCGUGUAGGCUGGUUUUCCAGGCAAAUCCGGAGAAUCAAGGCUGAGGCGUGAUGACGAGGCACUACGGUGCUGAAGCAACAAAUGCCCUGCUUCCAGGAAAAGCCUCUAAGCAUCAGGUAACAUCAAAUCGUACCCCAAACCGACACAGGUGGUCAGGUAGAGAAUACCAAGGCGCUUGAGAGAACUCGGGUGAAGGAACUAGGCAAAAUGGUGCCGUAACUUCGGGAGAAGGCACGCUGAUAUGUAGGUGAAGCGACUUGCUCGUGGAGCUGAAAUCAGUCGAAGAUACCAGCUGGCUGCAACUGUUUAUUAAAAACACAGCACUGUGCAAACACGAAAGUGGACGUAUACGGUGUGACGCCUGCCCGGUGCCGGAAGGUUAAUUGAUGGGGUCAGCGCAAGCGAAGCUCUUGAUCGAAGCCCCGGUAAACGGCGGCCGUAACUAUAACGGUCCUAAGGUAGCGAAAUUCCUUGUCGGGUAAGUUCCGACCUGCACGAAUGGCGUAAUGAUGGCCAGGCUGUCUCCACCCGAGACUCAGUGAAAUUGAACUCGCUGUGAAGAUGCAGUGUACCCGCGGCAAGACGGAAAGACCCCGUGAACCUUUACUAUAGCUUGACACUGAACACUGGUCCUUGAUGUGUAGGAUAGGUGGGAGGCUUUGAAGUGUGGACGCCAGUCUGCAUGGAGCCGUCCUUGAAAUACCACCCUUUAAUGGCUGGUGUUCUAACGUAGGCCCCUUAUCGGGGUUGCGGACAGUGUCUGGUGGGUAGUUUGACUGGGGCGGUCUCCUCCUAAAGAGUAACGGAGGAGCACGAAGGUUGGCUAAUCCUGGUCGGACAUCAGGAGGUUAGUGCAAUGGCAUAAGCCAGCUUGACUGCGAGCGUGACGGCGCGAGCAGGUGCGAAAGCAGGUCAUAGUGAUCCGGUGGUUCUGAAUGGAAGGGCCAUCGCUCAACGGAUAAAAGGUACUCCGGGGAUAACAGGCUGAUACCGCCCAAGAGUUCAUAUCGACGGCGGUGUUUGGCACCUCGAUGUCGGCUCAUCACAUCCUGGGGCUGAAGUAGGUCCCAAGGGUAUGGCUGUUCGCCAUUUAAAGUGGUACGCGAGCUGGGUUUAGAACGUCGUGAGACAGUUCGGUCCCUAUCUGCCGUGGGCGCUGGAGAACUGAGGGGGGCUGCUCCUAGUACGAGAGGACCGGAGUGGACGCAUCACUGGUGUUCGGGUUGUCAUGCCAAUGGCACUGCCCGGUAGCUAAAUGCGGAAGAGAUAAGUGCUGAAAGCAUCUAAGCACGAAACUUGCCCCGAGAUGAGUUCUCCCUGACCCUUUAAGGGUCCUGAAGGAACGUUGAAGACGACGACGUUGAUAGGCCGGGUGUGUAAGCGCAGCGAUGCGUUGAGCUAACCGGUACUAAUGAACCGUGAGGCUUAACCUU